CCAGCCAUCCCGCGUGUAUGAUGAAGGCCUUCGGGUUGUAAAGUACUUUUGGCAGAGAAGAAAAGGUAUCCCCUAAUACGGGAUACUGCUGACGGUAUCUGCAGAAUAAGCACCGGCUAACUACGUGCCAGCAGCCGCGGUAAUACGUAGGGUGCAAGCGUUAAUCGGAAUUACUGGGCGUAAAGCGUGUGUAGGCGGUUCGGAAAGAAAGAUGUGAAAUCCCAGGGCUCAACCUUGGAACUGCAUUUUUAACUGCCGAGCUAGAGUAUGUCAGAGGGGGGUAGAAUUCCACGUGUAGCAGUGAAAUGCGUAGAUAUGUGGAGGAAUACCGAUGGCGAAGGCAGCCCCCUGGGAUAAUACUGACGCUCAGACACGAAAGCGUGGGGAGCAAACAGGAUUAGAUACCCUGGUAGUCCACGCCCUAAACGAUGUCAACUAGCUGUUGGGGCCGUUAGGCCUUAGUAGCGCAGCUAACGCGUGAAGUUGACCGCCUGGGGAGUACGGUCGCAAGAUUAAAACUCAAAUGA
RNAcentral lists this ribosomal RNA (527 nucleotides) under Alcaligenes faecalis. RNAcentral describes it as "bacterial SSU rRNA". It matches the Rfam family "Bacterial small subunit ribosomal RNA", at positions 388 to 908 of the family's 1533-position model. The record is from RNAcentral. Lineage: Bacteria; Pseudomonadati; Pseudomonadota; Betaproteobacteria; Burkholderiales; Alcaligenaceae.